CACCUACGGGAGGCUGCAGUCGAGAAUUUUUGACAAUGGGGGAAACCCUGAUCGAGCGACGCCGCGUGGAGGAUGAAGGCCUUCGGGUUGUAAACUCCUGUCAUGCGGGAACAAGCAAGUGAUAGUACCGCAAGAGGAAGAGACGGCUAACUCUGUGCCAGCAGCCGCGGUAAUACAGAGGUCUCAAGCGUUGUUCGGAUUCAUUGGGCGUAAAGGGUGCGUAGGUGGCGAUGUAAGUCUGGUGUGAAAUCUCGGGGCUCAACCUCGAAAUUGCAUUGGAUACUGCGUUGCUUGAGGAUUGUAGAGGAGAGUGGAAUUCACGGUGUAGCAGUGAAAUGCGUAGAUAUCGUGAGGAAGACCAGUUGCGAAGGCGACUCUCUGGGCAAUUCCUGACACUGAGGCACGAAGGCCAGGGGAGCAAACGGGAUUAGAUACCCCGGUAGUCCUGGCAGUAAACGGUGCACGUUUGGUGUGGGCGGGUUCAGGCCCCGUCCGUGCCGGAGCUAACG
RNAcentral lists this ribosomal RNA (509 nucleotides) under uncultured bacterium. RNAcentral describes it as "bacterial SSU rRNA". It matches the Rfam family "Bacterial small subunit ribosomal RNA", at positions 335 to 857 of the family's 1533-position model. The record is from RNAcentral.